RNAcentral lists this ribosomal RNA (578 nucleotides) under Cystoderma jasonis. RNAcentral's name for it is "eukaryotic LSU rRNA". The stretch from base 233 to 386 matches the Rfam family "5.8S ribosomal RNA". The record is from RNAcentral. Lineage: Eukaryota; Fungi; Basidiomycota; Agaricomycetes; Agaricales; Squamanitaceae.
AGGAGCAAGUGCACGCCUUUCCAUCUUUACUUCUCCACCUGUGCACCUUUUGUAGUCUUUUGAAAUUAGAGAGCGAAUACUCGAGGCAAACUCGGAUAGAGGAUCUGCUGCGCGCAAAGUCCAGCUUUCCUUGUCAAUUGUCUUUUAAUUUUUAAAGGUCUACGUUUUUCAUAUACCCCAAAUGUAUGUUAAGAAUGUAAUCAAUGGGCUUUAUUGCCUAUAAAACAAAUACAACUUUCAGCAACGGAUCUCUUGGCUCUCGCAUCGAUGAAGAACGCAGCGAAAUGCGAUAAGUAAUGUGAAUUGCAGAAUUCAGUGAAUCAUCGAAUCUUUGAACGCACCUUGCGCUCCUUGGUAUUCCGAGGAGCAUGCUUGUUUGAGUGUCAUUAAAUUCUCAACCCUUUCAAAGUUUUAUUCAACUUUGAAGUAGGGCUUGGAUUUGGGUGUUGCAGGCUUUUCAAUAGUCGGCUCUCCUUAAAAGUAUUAGCGGAACUUUUUGUAAGCCGUCUACAUAGUGUGAUAAUUAUCUACGCUAUCGAUGUUGCUUAGGCUAAUAUAAUAAAGUUCAGCUUUCUAAU